This 468-nucleotide ribosomal RNA is filed under the name uncultured bacterium. Its description in RNAcentral is "partial 16S ribosomal RNA". It matches the Rfam family "Bacterial small subunit ribosomal RNA", at positions 28 to 507 of the family's 1533-position model. The record is from RNAcentral.
GACGAACGCUGGCGGCGUGCUUAACACAUGCAAGUCGAACGGAAAGGCCCUGCUUUUGUGGGGUGCUCGAGUGGCGAACGGGUGAGUAACACGUGAGUAACCUGCCCUUGACUUUGGGAUAACUUCAGGAAACUGGGGCUAAUACCGGAUAGGAGCUCCUGCUGCAUGGUGGGGGUUGGAAAGUUUCGGCGGUUGGGGAUGGACUAGCGGCUUAUCAGCUUGUUGGUGGGGUAGUGGCUUACCAAGGCUUUGACGGGUAGCCGGCCUGAGAGGGUGACCGGCCACAUUGGUACUGAGAUACGGCCCAGACUCCUACUGGAGGCAGCAGUGGGGAAUAUUGCACAAUGGGCGGAAGCCUGAUGCAGCAACGCCGCGUGCGGGAUGACGGCCUUCGGGUUGUAAACCGCUUUCGCCUGUGACGAAGCGUGAGUGACGGUAAUGGGUAAAGAAGCACCGGCUAACUACGUG